ACAACUGUAGCUCAGUUGGUUAGAGCACUCGUUUAGUAAGCGGGAGGUCUUGAGUUCGACUCUCAACAAGAGCA
This 74-nucleotide transfer RNA is filed under the name Gossypium hirsutum (cotton). It matches the Rfam family "tRNA". From Rfam's summary of the family: Transfer RNA (tRNA) molecules are approximately 80 nucleotides in length. Their secondary structure includes four short double-helical elements and three loops (D, anti-codon, and T loops). Lineage: Eukaryota; Viridiplantae; Streptophyta; Magnoliopsida; Malvales; Malvaceae. The record is from Rfam by way of RNAcentral.